This 70-nucleotide transfer RNA is filed under the name Lamprotornis superbus. RNAcentral describes it as "tRNA-OTHER". It matches the Rfam family "tRNA". From Rfam's summary of the family: Transfer RNA (tRNA) molecules are approximately 80 nucleotides in length. Their secondary structure includes four short double-helical elements and three loops (D, anti-codon, and T loops). The record is from RNAcentral. Lineage: Eukaryota; Metazoa; Chordata; Aves; Passeriformes; Sturnidae.
GAUUAGCUCAGCUGGUCAGAGCAUGGUGCUAAUAAAGCCAAGGUUGGGGGUACUAUCCCCUUAUAAGCCG